GAUCCUGGCUCAGGAUGAACGCUAGCUACAGGCUUAACACAUGCAAGUCGAGGGGGCAGCAUGACGAUAGCUUGCUAUUGUUGAUGGCGACCGGCGCACGGGUGAGUAACGCGUAUCCAACCUUCCCGUUGCUAGGGGAUAACCUUGCGAAAGUAAGACUAAUACCCUAUGAAGUUCUUCGCAGGCAUCUAAAGAGAACGAAAGAUUUAUCGGCAACGGAUGGGGAUGCGUCUGAUUAGCUUGUUGGCGGGGUAACGGCCCACCAAGGCGACGAUCAGUAGGGGUUCUGAGAGGAAGGUCCCCCACAUUGGAACUGAGACACGGUCCAAACUCCUACGGGAGGCAGCAGUGAGGAAUAUUGGUCAAUGGACGGGAGUCUGAACCAGCCAAGUAGCGUGCAGGAUGACGGCCCUAUGGGUUGUAAACUGCUUUUAUAAGGGAAUAAAGUGGGUCACGUGUGACUUUUUGCAUGUACCUUAUGAAUAAGGACCGGCUAAUUCCGUG
RNAcentral lists this ribosomal RNA (504 nucleotides) under uncultured bacterium. RNAcentral's name for it is "bacterial SSU rRNA". It matches the Rfam family "Bacterial small subunit ribosomal RNA", at positions 15 to 507 of the family's 1533-position model. The record is from RNAcentral.